This is an RNA transcript of Dermacentor albipictus, 2938 nucleotides long. RefSeq lists it as uncharacterized. The record is from RefSeq and is a predicted model, not a curated record. NCBI's taxonomy places the organism in Eukaryota, Metazoa, Arthropoda, Arachnida, Ixodida, Ixodidae.
CAUAAAACGAGUAACUUCCCACACGACCAAUAGCACAUUCCAGUGUCCACAACUCUAGAACAUUACAAGAUUACAAUCACACGCGAAGACCGUUUUCACACGAACUACUAGACCGGCCAAACCAAAUUACAACGGCAGCGAAACAGAAACUAACCACGACACAGAAACACCUCGAAAAUUUGUCGCCCUCACGGGCGCCGUUAUGAAGCCGAAGGGAGCCAAGCCAAACGCUGAUAAUGGUUGUCUGUAACGCAGUGAGGGCCUCAGUUAGAGCAAGGUUUUUGUUAAAGUGUACUCACCAGUCAACGCAAUUAAGAAAGAAAAAUAGUUCUUUAUUCUAUGACUAGGACGCAACCAACCCACUCGGACGCUCGGCAGGGUGAGCGCAACUCCGGCCAUGUGUGAUUGGAUCGUAGCCUCGGUCGGAUAUCCACAGUGGAUUAGCGCGCUUGAUGUGCUUCUGUACUCCAAGCCUCGAAGGAUGCUCGGGGGAGUGCCGUGAUACUGUGAAAACGCGCAAAUUGGUGAGAGCGUGGAGGCGGUCUUUACAAUUGGUCGCCGCAGCUUCAGGGGACACAGAUCCCGCCCAUUACUCUUGACGUGUGUGCCGUCGCUGUUGCGCGCCGACUAGGUGCGUGCAGCACAAUGCCGCGCAGCUGUGUUGUCCCGACGUGCGAGUCGAGCUUCAGGAAGGACCGCAACCUCGGCUACCACGAGUUUCCGUGCGACGCGGAACGCCGGCAAGUGUGGCUGCGAAACAUUUUCGGGGAGGGACCCGGCGGGAAAACCACGAAGUGGGUGCCGAGCGACAAAUCGCUGGUGUGCUCCCUGCAUUUCACGGAGCAAGACUACAGGGCGACCAACAAGCUCAGGCUGCUGCUGCCGACCGCUGUGCCAACUGUGUUCCCCGCUCAUCCAAGCUGCACCACGACCCCCUCUGUAGAGGAGGAGGUCGUGAGCUGCACGAGCAAGAAAGCUGUCGUCAGAGGCACUCGUGCUCGAAAGAAGCGGCCGCGACCAAAGGGAACGGAGAACGUUAAGCGCGCUCGUGGAGCAGGCAAGCGGAUAGCCAGUCAAAACGACACAAUGCUUGACCGUCACGAAGGCGCCAUAACGCCUCGUCAAUCUGAACCAGUGGUUGAAAACUGCGACGAAAGUCCGUCCGUUAAGGAUGAGACCAGCCCAACGCGCCGCCUUCAAGCAACGAUCGCCCUUCUUAGAGGGGAGCUACAAACGCUGCAGUGUAAACUCGAUGAAGCCGAAGAGCGAGCUCACUUUUAUGAAAAUAACAAUGACAUUGACUGUUUUAUGAGGGUGCUCGACGCUGCUGCUCAUGGUGACGAGACUGCCGUGUCUAUUAUGAACCAAGUCUACAGCUUCCAUGGAGAGGCCGAAUUCGCUAUUUUGGGAGGGCCUGUAAGCAUGCAAGAGCCGAGCCCCCUCAAUGGUACAGACAUGUUGGCCACUGUGGGAGUGAAGUUGGAGUCACUUCACUGAUGAAAGACGGCACUGACAAACGAAAGUCUGCGUGAUUAAUUUCAGGAUCUUGGUGCAUAACAAGACCUUCAUCCACCACAUUAUCAAUGGGCUGGCCACAAACACGACAACCUUUUUGACCCUGUUGACUGGUUUUUAGAAUCACUCCACAGUCCCCCCAAGUCAUUUGCCAUGUUUUGUUGCGAGAGGCUUCUAAAUGCCUUCCUAUGUCGGACAUUUUUUUACUAUAUGCUUGAAAAGCAAUGAACUUUUUUCCUUGACAAUGGAAGUGCUGAAAGCGGCUGAGAAGGUGGGCCUUUGUGUUGCGAGUAUCAUGAACAAUGCCCCUCAAAACCAGCAUUGCAUUUUUCAAAUGUGAGAUGGCAUGCGGUGCUGCACCCCUUGCAGGUUGGCGACUCUGUCUCUUUAUCAUGCUCUACACAAACACUUGGAUCAACUUUCUAGAAAGAAAGCUGAUGGAUGGUCAUGAAGUCAUUUGAGAAUGUGUGUGCCACAAUAAAUUGACAGUAAUAUAAACUUCUUGCAUGUCAAACUGGCAAGAUUACUGUUGUGUUCUUAUGAGAAGCCAAACGACUUCAAGAAAGAUUGGCAAGGACAACCUGUGUUUCUUCAUCCAUCGUGAUUGGGACACCCAAGUAUCUUCAAGAAAACCGCCACUACCAUCCAGGCACGGAGAAGAAUUUCAGGAGUGCUUGGCCAUAUUGCCUUCGUGCAUACGUGUCCGAAGCGGCAUGUUCUUCAUGCUAUUCAUAGUUGAGCUUCGCAGCCGACACAUGAGAUCACAGAGACAGCAAUAGGAGCCUUUAAUAACAACAGGCGAUGAUUGAUUUUCGUGGAAGAAAGCACACCUCGUCUUCUUAAAAGGACUUCAGCAUUCUGGCUGCAGAUCGAGUGACCACCUCAAUUGAAGCAUACAAGGCUGCACUCCCGACUACUAAUUCACAGUGGCAUUGAUAAAGUACCUUCUUUAGCAUGUCAAGUACAGGGCAAGGAUCAGCUGCAGCUCCACAGCCAAAUGACAGACUGUACAGAUAAAUAAUGACAUCAGCAGUGGUCACGUGAACCACCUAAGGACCAAAGUUAUUUGAAAUUGUAACUUGAUGUGCACGUUUGUGCUCGAAGUAACAAAGUGUCCAGAAGGAACAAGUAGGAAAGUGUAUGGCGUUUUUCUUAGCAUUUCGGUCACACCUAUGCAAUGCUGGGAACUGACAUGUGGAGCAAAAGAUAACCACAGUGUAGAAGUUUAUGAAGUUUCUUCAAGCUCUUGUUGGAACUGCUGCUGGAAAACUGGACACAAAGUGUAAAUUUGUGAGUAGAUGUGGCUUGUAUGGCUAGCCCAGAAGCUAGCAUCGAGCAAAGUUCGGUCCUUGUGAUUCUGAUGAUAGUCUUCACGGGGAAUAUUUUUUGCCAUAACUGGGCAAUAAAAUAUAUGCAACUUGUA